Molecule: RNA transcript, 1802 nt
Organism: Benincasa hispida (wax gourd)
Lineage: Eukaryota; Viridiplantae; Streptophyta; Magnoliopsida; Cucurbitales; Cucurbitaceae
Gene name: putative magnesium transporter NIPA6
Source: RefSeq, a predicted model, not a curated record
AAGGAGAGAAAAAUAAUGUGGGAAUUCGCUGUUGGACUGACAUACGAAAAAAACGUGUACCAAUUUCUCAAAUACAAAAUUCCUCCUUCGCCUCGAGGGAGCUGCUGGCUCUGUUCACACUGUGUUUCUUCUUCUUCUUCUUUCGCCUGCAAAAUUUGGAAUUAGAUGAAAAUCUGCAGCAAUCCAUGACCACCCAUGAGCCUUCCAUCUCCCCGAAUGAUAACCUGAAAGGUUUUCUUCUUGCUAUGUUGUCCAGCGCCUUUAUUGGGUCCAGCUUCAUCAUCAAGAAGUUGGGUCUUCGUCGGGCUGGUGCUUCGGGUUCACGAGCGAGUUCUGGUGGAUAUGGGUAUCUAUUAGAGCCCCUUUGGUGGAUCGGCAUGAUUACCAUGAUUGUUGGGGAGUUUUCCAAUUUUGUGGCUUAUAUUUAUGCUCCUGCUAUUCUCGUGACGCCACUUGGAGCAAUAAGUAUAAUUGUUAGUGCUGUACUUGCACAUUUUUUCUUGAAGGAAAAAUUGCAGAAAAUGGGUGUAUUGGGGUGUAUUUUAUGUGUUGUAGGGUCUACAAUGAUUGUGCUCCAUGCACCUGGUGAACGUACUCCGAGUUCAGUGGAUGAGAUAUGGGAACUAGCAACUCAACCAACUUUCCUUCUCUAUACGGCCUCAGUAAUAGCUAUUGUGUUGUUCCUGGUGUUGUAUUGCGAACCCCGCUAUGGACAGACAAACAUACUCAUUUACAUUGGAAUAUGUUCCAUAAUUGGAUCCUUGACGGUAAUGAGCAUCAAAGCUAUUGGCAUUGCAAUAAAGCUCACAAUGGAGGGUUGGAGUCAGGUUGCUCACUUCCAAACAUGGGUCUUUGUAAUGGUUGCAAUCUCAUGCAUAAUCAUUCAGUUGAAUUAUUUAAAUAAGGUUAAAAUAUCAUUUUGGUCUCUGUACUUUGGAUUUCAUUCCAAUUUAGCUUUGGACACAUUUGACACUGCUGUUGUUUCGCCAAUUCAUUAUGCAAUGUUCACAUCUUUCACGAUCUUUGCCAGUGUCAUAAUGUUUAAGGAUUGGUCUGGUCAGAGUGCUAGCAGCAUUGCAUCAGAACUCUGUGGAUUUGUAACCAUACUUUCUGGGACCGUGGUCUUGCAUGAUACAAGAUCACCUGAUCCUGCUUCCGUUUCAGAGAUGUACAUGUCUGUCUCUCCUCAAGUGUCGUGGUAUUUCCCUGCAAAUGGCGAUACCUGGAAACGGAAAUCUGAAGAAAUACUAUUGCCAGAUUUUGAUGCAAUCCUCAAACAAGACCAUUUCACAUGAAAUGAAAGAGAUUUAGACAAAUGUUUCAAUUUUGGGAUCUUGGAACAACAUGAUGAAAGCUUUAGAAAGGUGAAGAACAUUAGUGGGAUAAACUUCAGUUUCAAGUUGAGAACCAUAAGCUUUGGAUGCUAUAAGGACAUUGACAGCUUCUGUUGGAUGUAACCCGUCAAAGUAGACAUGGUUGGUUCUGUUUGGGCAAGUUUUUCCUCCAUUUUUGCACAAAAUUCCAUUUCCACCUUCAUUCAGAGAUGGCACUUCACAACAGGGCAUAGCUGCCUCAAUAAAACCUGAAAAGCACUCAUCAUGUGUUAGUUUUAGUUCAUUGAAGGGGGUUUUCUUUUUUUGUUGAUAUGUGGGGUGGGAGGAUGUAAAUCUCAGAUCUUGAGAUUGAUAGUAUAAGUUCGUGUCCGUUGCAUUAUGUUCAUGUUGGCUAUUGAAAGUGUUUUCAAAUGUUUUGAAGGAUAUAUUGUCAUGAAAAUUUUACUUGGUAAAAUUACAUUAUAUGUU